ACUACACAGCUAGGCUCAAACACCAAACUUCCACAUAAUUAAACCUAAAACAUUUACAAUGAUAGUAUAGGCGAUAGAAAUAAACAUCUGAAGCAAUAGAAAAAGUACCGCAAGGGAAAGCUGAAAAAGAAAUUAAACAAACCAUAAAAGUAUAAAAAAGCAAGGAUUAUCCCCUGUACCUUUUGCAUCAUGAUCUAGUAAGUCAAUUAGAGGCAAAAAGACCUUAAGUCUCUCUCCCCGAAACUAAAUGAGCUAUUUAAGAGCAGCUACUAUGAGCAAACCCAUCUAUGUGGCAAAAUAGUGGGAAGACUCUUAAAUAGAGGCGACAAACCAAACGAAUUUAGUGAUAGCUGGUUACUUAAUAAACAAGUUUCAGCUUGACCUUAAACCAUUAUCAAAAUAAUAAUAAUACAGAUUAAAGUUCAAGAGCUAUUCAUUAGAGGUACAGCUCUUUUGAAAAAGGAAACAACCUACAUCAUUGGGUAAUGAUUAUAAUUUCUUUUUUUCCCAUUUAGUAGGCCUAAAAGCAGCCACCUACAAGAAAGCGUCACAGCUCACACAUUUAAAAUUUCAAUAAAAAACAUCAAAACCCACAAUAACCACUAAGUUAACCUAUACAGCAUAGGUAAAUUAAUACUAGAAUAAGUAAUAAGAAAACAUGAUUUUCUCCAUGCGAACCUAUAAAUCAGAUCGAACUAAUCACUGAUAAUGACCGAUCCUUUAUUAAUGGAAAUAAAAACUAAUAAUAAACAAGAAAAACAUUAAAACUAACUCGUUACCCCUACACAGGCUCGCAAAACGAAAGACUAAAAGAUAAAGAAGGAAUUCAGCAAACAUUAAACCUCGCCUGUUUACCAAAAACAUCGCCUCUAGCAAGACCAACAUUAGAGGUACUGCCUGCCCAGUGAAAACAUUUAACGGCCGCGGUAUUUUGACCGUGCAAAGGUAGCAUAAUCACUUGUCUUCUAAAUAAAGACUAGUAUGAACGGCAAAACGAAAGUUUAACUGUCUCCUUUAUCUACUCAAUGAAAUUGAUCACACAGUACAAAAGCUGUGAUAAAACAACAAGACGAGAAGACCCUAUGGAGCUUAAAACACACUAGAAAAUGCAAUUAUCAAUUUCAUGCAUCAAUUCCACACUGUUUUUGGUUGGGGCGACCACGGAGAACACCUACCCUCCGAGAUGUAUAUGUUAGGGACCAGCCCAAACAUCAGAAAACUGACAUAAUUGACCCAAUACUUUGACCAACGAACCAAGUUACCCUAGGGAUAACAGCGCAAUCCUCUUUAAGAGCCCAUAUCGACAAGAGGGCUUACGACCUCGAUGUUGGAUCAGGAUAACCUGACAGUGUAACCGCCGUCAAAGGUUUGUUUGUUCAACAAUUAAAAUCCUACGUGAUCUGAGUUCAGACCGGAGCAAUCCAGGUCAGUUUCUAUCUAUUACGUGAUUUUUUCUAGUACGAAAGGACCGAAAAAAUAUGGCCAAUGCUACACUCAUGCCAUCAAUAAAACUAAUGAAAUCAACUAAAUAAAACACAAUACACACCUCUAAAUAUAGAGGCU
RNAcentral lists this ribosomal RNA (1563 nucleotides) under Ichthyophis sp. ZISP 39334. RNAcentral describes it as "16S rRNA". It matches the Rfam family "Bacterial large subunit ribosomal RNA". The record is from RNAcentral. Lineage: Eukaryota; Metazoa; Chordata; Amphibia; Gymnophiona; Ichthyophiidae.